UUGGGGGCGCUGGUAGUGUGGUGGUUGUACGGCUUACAGCCAGGCUUCAUACGCUAUCGUCCUGCCCGUUAGAGCAGCCAGCGGGUAUAGAAUGGAUUUUGGAGGAGGGAGUCACCACUGGGCCUCCAAGGAAGCCACGUGCAGACAUCUACAACCUUCGAUCUCCUGACGAGUUUAUUGUUGGCCAAAACCAGGCUUUGACUGAACCAGGAUGAAUGCGGGUGUUGGGAAUAGAAUAUAUAUAUACAUAUAAAACCGAAACUGGCGAAGGAAUAUGAGAGGAGUCCUCUGGAAAGAAAAGAACAGACCCUGUGCUUUCAUGAAAGUGAAGAUCUGGCUGAACCAGUUCCACAAGGUUAUUGUAUACAUAGCCUGGGUUUAAAAGGCUGUGCCCACUUUGAAGAAUGUCAUUGUUAGACUUUGCUGAAAUUUCUAACUGCCUACCUGGAUAAAGAAAAUCAAAUCUUUUAAAUCAAAAAAAAAAAAAAAAA
Non-coding RNA from Macaca mulatta (Rhesus monkey), 491 nucleotides. NCBI's taxonomy places the organism in Eukaryota, Metazoa, Chordata, Mammalia, Primates, Cercopithecidae. The record is from RefSeq and is a predicted model, not a curated record.